Molecule: ribosomal RNA, 322 nt
Filed under: uncultured bacterium
Lineage: Bacteria
Description: bacterial SSU rRNA
Rfam family: Bacterial small subunit ribosomal RNA
Source: RNAcentral
UCCACGCCCUAAACGAUGUCAACUGGUUGUUGGGGAAGCAAUUCCUUAGUGACGAAGCUAACGCGAGAAGUUGACCGCCUGGGGAGUACGGUCGCAAGAUUAAAACUCAAAGGAAUUGACGGGGACCCGCACAAGCGGUGGAUUAUGUGGAUUAAUUCGAUGCAACGCGAAAAACCUUACCUACCCUUGACAUGUCCGGAAGUUUCCAGAGAUGGAUUCGUGCCCGAAAGGGAACCGGAACACAGGUGCUGCAUGGCUGUCGUCAGCUCGUGUCGUGAGAUGUUGGGUUAAGUCCCGCAACGAGCGCAACCCUUGUCAUUAA